This 217-nucleotide unclassified non-coding RNA is filed under the name Hevea brasiliensis (rubber tree). The record is from RNAcentral. Lineage: Eukaryota; Viridiplantae; Streptophyta; Magnoliopsida; Malpighiales; Euphorbiaceae.
UUGAAAUUAAUGUGUCUAUCAGUGGAUUAUGCUAUAAUAAUUUUGCUCCUCUAUCUACUUCCCAUCUAGGUAAUGAUAGUUGUGCAACUGUGAGUUGGUUUCCUGUUAGCUCAUUUACUAGAAUGGUGUUACUCUUUUGGUUUUUGUUGUGGCAUUUGGUUUAGCCACUUACAAGUUCUCCAUCUGUUUGACAGUGCUUUUGGUAAUGUUCAAUAAA